Molecule: long non-coding RNA, 218 nt
Filed under: Lathyrus oleraceus (garden pea)
Lineage: Eukaryota; Viridiplantae; Streptophyta; Magnoliopsida; Fabales; Fabaceae
Description: Pisum sativum (pea) long non-coding RNA (PSAT_LNC024340)
Source: RNAcentral
AGUUGGUUGUGGCUGAACAGAAGUACAACUAUUAUUGGAAGAGGUGCACAGGUGCUGAUGAAGAGGUGCACAGGUGCUGAUGUUAUAGCAGAUGUCAGUGUGACAUUCUGGCUGGUACAGGUGCUGGAGUUACAGUAGCUGUUUUUGGUGAAUGCACAGAUUUAGGGGGAGAAGAAGUACCCUGGUGCAUUGUGCAUUUGUGUGUCUUACUAGUUGCA